GGAAGGGCUGUAGCUCAGUGGCAGAGCGUCUGCUUUGUGUGCAGAAGGUCCCAAGUUCAAUCCCUGGCACCUCCA
Molecule: non-coding RNA, 75 nt
Organism: Zootoca vivipara (common lizard)
Lineage: Eukaryota; Metazoa; Chordata; Lepidosauria; Squamata; Lacertidae
Source: the annotation of a RefSeq genome assembly